UGCACAGUGGUGUAGUGGUUAGCACGUUUGCCUCACGGGUCUGGGUCUGGGGUUCAAGUCCGGCCGGUGCCA
Non-coding RNA from Ameiurus melas (black bullhead), 72 nucleotides. The record is from the annotation of a GenBank genome assembly. NCBI's taxonomy places the organism in Eukaryota, Metazoa, Chordata, Actinopteri, Siluriformes, Ictaluridae.